GGUGGCUCAGUGAUAGAGUGUUUGUCUUGAAUGCAUAAGGCCCUGGGUUCAAUUCCUCAGCACCA
RNAcentral lists this transfer RNA (65 nucleotides) under Dipodomys ordii (Ord's kangaroo rat). It matches the Rfam family "tRNA". Rfam says of the family: Transfer RNA (tRNA) molecules are approximately 80 nucleotides in length. Their secondary structure includes four short double-helical elements and three loops (D, anti-codon, and T loops). Lineage: Eukaryota; Metazoa; Chordata; Mammalia; Rodentia; Heteromyidae. The record is from Rfam by way of RNAcentral.